AGCGUACACGGUGGAUGCCCUGGCAGUCAGAGGCGAUGAAGGACGUGCUAAUCUGCGAUAAGCGCCGGUAAGGUGAUAUGAACCGUUAUAACCGGCGAUUUCCGAAUGGGGAAACCCAGUGUGACUCGUCACACUAUCAUUAACUGAAUCCAUAGGUUAAUGAGGCGAACCGGGGGAACUGAAACAUCUAAGUACCCCGAGGAAAAGAAAUCAACCGAGAUUCCCCCAGUAGCGGCGAGCGAACGGGGAGGAGCCCAGAGCCUGAAUCAGCAUGUGUGUUAGUGGAAGCGUCUGGAAAGGCGCGCGAUACAGGGUGACAGCCCCGUACACAAAAGCGCAUGUGCUGUGAGCUCGAUGAGUAGGGCGGGACACGUGGUAUCCUGUCUGAAUAUGGGGGGACCAUCCUCCAAGGCUAAAUACUCCUGACUGACCGAUAGUGAACCAGUACCGUGAGGGAAAGGCGAAAAGAACCCCGGCGAGGGGAGUGAAAAAGAACCUGAAACCGUGUACGUACAAGCAGUGGGAGCACCCUUUGGGGUGUGACUGCGUACCUUUUGUAUAAUGGGUCAGCGACUUAUAUUCUGUAGCAAGGUUAACCGAAUAGGGGAGCCGGAGGGAAACCGAGUCUUAACCGGGCGUUAAGUUGCAGGGUAUAGACCCGAAACCCGGUGAUCUAGCCAUGGGCAGGUUGAAGGUUGGGUAACACUAACUGGAGGACCGAACCGACUAAUGUUGAAAAAUUAGCGGAUGACCUGUGGCUGGGGGUGAAAGGCCAAUCAAACCGGGAGAUAGCUGGUUCUCCCCGAAAGCUAUUUAGGUAGCGCCUCGUGAAUUCAUCUCCGGGGGUAGAGCACUGUUUCGGCUAGGGGGCCAUCCCGGCUUACCAACCCGAUGCAAACUGCGAAUACCGGAGAAUGUUAUCACGGGAGACACACGGCGGGUGCUAACGUCCGUCGUGAAGAGGGAAACAACCCAGACCGCCAGCUAAGGUCCCAAAGUCAUGGUUAAGUGGGAAACGAUGUGGGAAGGCCCAGACAGCCAGGAUGUUGGCUUAGAAGCAGCCAUCAUUUAAAGAAAGCGUAAUAGCUCACUGGUCGAGUCGGCCUGCGCGGAAGAUGUAACGGGGCUAAACCAUGCACCGAAGCUGCGGCAGCGACGCUGAUGCGUUGUUGGGUAGGGGAGCGUUCUGUAAGCCUGUGAAGGUGGCCUGUGAGGGUUGCUGGAGGUAUCAGAAGUGCGAAUGCUGACAUAAGUAACGAUAAAGCGGGUGAAAAGCCCGCUCGCCGGAAGACCAAGGGUUCCUGUCCAACGUUAAUCGGGGCAGGGUGAGUCGACCCCUAAGGCGAGGCCGAAAGGCGUAGUCGAUGGGAAACGGGUUAAUAUUCCCGUACUUGGUGUUACUGCGAAGGGGGGACGGAGAAGGCUAUGUUGGCCGGGCGACGGUUGUCCCGGUUUAAGCGUGUAGGUGUGUGUUCCAGGUAAAUCCGGUUCACUUUAACACUGAGGCGUGAUGACGAGGCACUACGGUGCUGAAGCAACAAAUGCCCUGCUUCCAGGAAAAGCCUCUAAGCAUCAGGUAACAUCAAAUCGUACCCCAAACCGACACAGGUGGUCAGGUAGAGAAUACCAAGGCGCUUGAGAGAACUCGGGUGAAGGAACUAGGCAAAAUGGUGCCGUAACUUCGGGAGAAGGCACGCUGACACGUAGGUGAAGUGAUUUACUCAUGGAGCUGAAGUCAGUCGAAGAUACCAGCUGGCUGCAACUGUUUAUUAAAAACACAGCACUGUGCAAACACGAAAGUGGACGUAUACGGUGUGACGCCUGCCCGGUGCCGGAAGGUUAAUUGAUGGGGUCAGCGCAAGCGAAGCUCCUGAUCGAAGCCCCGGUAAACGGCGGCCGUAACUAUAACGGUCCUAAGGUAGCGAAAUUCCUUGUCGGGUAAGUUCCGACCUGCACGAAUGGCGUAAUGAUGGCCAGGCUGUCUCCACCCGAGACUCAGUGAAAUUGAACUCGCUGUGAAGAUGCAGUGUACCCGCGGCAAGACGGAAAGACCCCGUGAACCUUUACUAUAGCUUGACACUGAACAUUGAGCCUUGAUGUGUAGGAUAGGUGGGAGGCUUUGAAGUGUGGACGCCAGUCUGCAUGGAGCCGGCCUUGAAAUACCACCCUUUAAUGUUUGAUGUUCUAACGUGGACCCGUGAUCCGGGUUGCGGACAGUGUCUGGUGGGUAGUUUGACUGGGGCGGUCUCCUCCUAAAGAGUAACGGAGGAGCACGAAGGUUGGCUAAUCCUGGUCGGACAUCAGGAGGUUAGUGCAAUGGCAUAAGCCAGCUUGACUGCGAGCGUGACGGCGCGAGCAGGUGCGAAAGCAGGUCAUAGUGAUCCGGUGGUUCUGAAUGGAAGGGCCAUCGCUCAACGGAUAAAAGGUACUCCGGGGAUAACAGGCUGAUACCGCCCAAGAGUUCAUAUCGACGGCGGUGUUUGGCACCUCGAUGUCGGCUCAUCACAUCCUGGGGCUGAAGUAGGUCCCAAGGGUAUGGCUGUUCGCCAUUUAAAGUGGUACGCGAGCUGGGUUUAGAACGUCGUGAGACAGUUCGGUCCCUAUCUGCCGUGGGCGCUGGAGAACUGAGGGGGGCUGCUCCUAGUACGAGAGGACCGGAGUGGACGCAUCACUGGUGUUCGGGUUGUCAUGCCAAUGGCACUGCCCGGUAGCUAAAUGCGGAAGAGAUAAGUGCUGAAAGCAUCUAAGCACGAAACUUGCCCCGAGAUGAGUUCU
Molecule: ribosomal RNA, 2775 nt
Filed under: Salmonella enterica
Lineage: Bacteria; Pseudomonadati; Pseudomonadota; Gammaproteobacteria; Enterobacterales; Enterobacteriaceae
Also listed under: 1 other name
Description: bacterial LSU rRNA
Rfam family: Bacterial large subunit ribosomal RNA
Source: RNAcentral